RNAcentral lists this ribosomal RNA (1509 nucleotides) under Helicobacter pylori. RNAcentral's name for it is "bacterial SSU rRNA". It matches the Rfam family "Bacterial small subunit ribosomal RNA". The record is from RNAcentral. Lineage: Bacteria; Pseudomonadati; Campylobacterota; Epsilonproteobacteria; Campylobacterales; Helicobacteraceae.
UUUAUGGAGAGUUUGAUCCUGGCUCAGAGUGAACGCUGGCGGCGUGCCUAAUACAUGCAAGUCGAACGAUGAAGCUUCUAGCUUGCUAGAGUGCUGAUUAGUGGCGCACGGGUGAGUAACGCAUAGGUCAUGUGCCUCUUAGUUUGGGAUAGCCAUUGGAAACGAUGAUUAAUACCAGAUACUCCCUACGGGGGAAAGAUUUAUCGCUAAGAGAUCAGCCUAUGUCCUAUCAGCUUGUUGGUAAGGUAAUGGCUUACCAAGGCUAUGACGGGUAUCCGGCCUGAGAGGGUGAACGGACACACUGGAACUGAGACACGGUCCAGACUCCUACGGGAGGCAGCAGUAGGGAAUAUUGCUCAAUGGGGGAAACCCUGAAGCAGCAACGCCGCGUGGAGGAUGAAGGUUUUAGGAUUGUAAACUCCUUUUGUUAGAGAAGAUAAUGACGGUAUCUAACGAAUAAGCACCGGCUAACUCCGUGCCAGCAGCCGCGGUAAUACGGAGGGUGCAAGCGUUACUCGGAAUCACUGGGCGUAAAGAGCGCGUAGGCGGGAUAGUCAGUCAGGUGUGAAAUCCUAUGGCUUAACCAUAGAACUGCAUUUGAAACUACUAUUCUAGAGUGUGGGAGAGGUAGGUGGAAUUCUUGGUGUAGGGGUAAAAUCCGUAGAGAUCAAGAGGAAUACUCAUUGCGAAGGCGACCUGCUGGAACAUUACUGACGCUGAUUGCGCGAAAGCGUGGGGAGCAAACAGGAUUAGAUACCCUGGUAGUCCACGCCCUAAACGAUGGAUGCUAGUUGUUGGAGGGCUUAGUCUCUCCAGUAAUGCAGCUAACGCAUUAAGCAUCCCGCCUGGGGAGUACGGUCGCAAGAUUAAAACUCAAAGGAAUAGACGGGGACCCGCACAAGCGGUGGAGCAUGUGGUUUAAUUCGAAGAUACACGAAGAACCUUACCUAGGCUUGACAUUGAGAGAAUCCGCUAGAAAUAGUGGAGUGUCUGGCUUGCUAGACCUUGAAAACAGGUGCUGCACGGCUGUCGUCAGCUCGUGUCGUGAGAUGUUGGGUUAAGUCCCGCAACGAGCGCAACCCCCUUUCUUAGUUGCUAACAGGUCAUGCUGAGAACUCUAAGGAUACUGCCUCCGUAAGGAGGAGGAAGGUGGGGACGACGUCAAGUCAUCAUGGCCCUUACGCCUAGGGCUACACACGUGCUACAAUGGGGUGCACAAAGAGAAGCAAUACUGCGAAGUGGAGCCAAUCUUCAAAACACCUCUCAGUUCGGAUUGUAGGUUGCAACUCGCCUGCAUGAAGCUGGAAUCGCUAGUAAUCGCAAAUCAGCCAUGUUGCGGUGAAUACGUUCCCGGGUCUUGUACUCACCGCCCGUCACACCAUGGGAGUUGUGUUUGCCUUAAGUCAGGAUGCUAAAUUGGCUACUGCCCACGGCACACACAGCGACUGGGGUGAAGUCGUAACAAGGUAACCGUAGGUGAACCUGCGGUUGGAUCACCUCCUUUCUAGA